UCGUGCGAUCGAGCCGAACUGAGUUUCCUUCGGGAGACGAUGAUUGGUGACGGAGCGGCGGACGGGUGAGUAACGCGUGGCUAACCUACCCUCUUGACGGGGACAACCACUCGAAAGGGUGGCUAACACCCGAUAUUGUCUGGAACCGAUGGGUUCCUUUCCAAAGGCGGUCUUGCCGCCGCAAGGGGAUGGGGCUGCGUCCUAUUAGCUAGUUGGUGAGGUAACGGCCCACCAAGGCUUCGAUGGGUAGCUGGUCUGAGAGGACGGCCAGCCACAUUGGGACUGAGAUACGGCCCAGACUCCUACGGGAGGCAGCAGUGGGGAAUCUUGGCCAAUGGACGAAAGUCUGAGCCAGCGACACCGCGUGGGGGAUGACGGCCUUCGGGUCGUAAACCUCUUUUCUGGGGAAAGAAUAAGGACGGGAGGAAAUGCCCGCUCGAUGACGGUACUCCAGGAAUAAGCAUCGGCUAACUCUGUGCCAGCAGCCGCGGUAAGACAGAGGAUGCGAGCGUUAUCCGGAAUUACUGGGCGUAAAGGGCGUCUAGGCGGUUCGGUAAGUCGUUUGUGAAAUCCCUCGGCUCAACCGAGGAGGGUCUUGCGAUACUGCCGAGCUUGGGUGCAGGAGAGGAGGGUGGAACUCACAGAGUAGCGGUGGAAUGCGUAGAUACUGUGAGGUACCCCGAUGGCGAAGGCAACCCUCUGGCCUGCUACCGACGCUGAAGCGCGAAAGCGUGGGGAGCAAAGGGGAUUAGAUACCCCCGUAGUCCACGCCCUAAACAAUGUUCACUUGGUGUCGGCCGCUCAUACUGGUCGGUGCCGAAGCUAACGCGUUAAGUGAACCGCCUGAGGAGUACGGCCGCAAGGCUAAAACUCAAGAGAAUUGACGGGUCCCUGCACAAGCGGUGGAGCACGUGGUUUAAUUCGAUGAUAACGAAAAACUCACCCAGCUUGACAUACUAGUGGUAGGACCUGAAAGGGAGACGACCUGCCUCGGGUAGGAGCUAGUACAGGUGAUGCAUGGCUGUCGUCACUCGUGUCGUGG
This 1042-nucleotide ribosomal RNA is filed under the name uncultured bacterium. Its description in RNAcentral is "bacterial SSU rRNA". It matches the Rfam family "Bacterial small subunit ribosomal RNA", at positions 53 to 1070 of the family's 1533-position model. The record is from RNAcentral.